GUGUGUGAAUUGGAUAUUGGUUAGCCAAGGUAGAUUGUGACUCUACUGUUCCGAGAGGGACUUGCGGGUUCGAUUCCCGUCAUACACC
Molecule: transfer RNA, 88 nt
Filed under: Candidatus Riesia sp.
Lineage: Bacteria; Pseudomonadati; Pseudomonadota; Gammaproteobacteria; Enterobacterales; Enterobacteriaceae
Description: tRNA-His
Source: RNAcentral